RNAcentral lists this ribosomal RNA (737 nucleotides) under uncultured bacterium. RNAcentral describes it as "bacterial SSU rRNA". It matches the Rfam family "Bacterial small subunit ribosomal RNA", at positions 1 to 730 of the family's 1533-position model. The record is from RNAcentral.
AAUUCGAUUAGAGUUUGAUCCUGGCUCAGAUUGAACGCUGGCGGCAUGCCUUACACAUGCAAGUCGAACGGCAGCACGGGAGCUUGCUCCUGGUGGCGAGUGGCGAACGGGUGAGUAAUACAUCGGAACGUACCCAGGAGUGGGGGAUAACGUAGCGAAAGUUACGCUAAUACCGCAUAUUCUGUGAGCAGGAAAGCGGGGGAUCGCAAGACCUCGCGCUCUUGGAGCGGCCGAUGUCGGAUUAGCUAGUUGGUGAGGUAAAAGCUCACCAAGGCGACGAUCCGUAGCAGGUCUGAGAGGAUGAUCUGCCACACUGGGACUGAGACACGGCCCAGACUCCUACGGGAGGCAGCAGUGGGGAAUUUUGGACAAUGGGGGCAACCCUGAUCCAGCCAUGCCGCGUGAGUGAAGAAGGCCUUCGGGUUGUAAAGCUCUUUCGGCGGGGAAGAAAUGGCAACGGCUAAUAUCCGUUGUUGAUGACGGUACCCGCAUAAGAAGCACCGGCUAACUACGUGCCAGCAGCCGCGGUAAUACGUAGGGUGCGAGCGUUAAUCGGAAUUACUGGGCGUAAAGCGUGCGCAGGCGGUUUCGUAAGACAGACGUGAAAUCCCCGGGCUCAACCUGGGAACUGCGUUUGUGACUGCGAGGCUAGAGUACGGCAGAGGGGGGUAGAAUUCCACGUGUAGCAGUGAAAUGCGUAGAGAUGUGGAGGAAUACCGAUGGCGAAACAGCCCCCU